AGGUACAAACCAAUGGCACAAUACUUGUCCGAGCGGACAUUGGUAUGAAGCUACGUUUGCCGGAUUAUGCCUGAACGCCUCUAAGGUCGUAGCCGUGCCAGAACAACAGUUCAUCUAAAGGCUCUUAUACACAUUGUAUUGGUUAUAAUGGACGGGUACAUAUCUAUUCUCGUAAUAUUUUUGUACUCACCUAAAUCCAUUCUCAUAUUCUCCCAUGUGUCUGUAUGUAUCAUAUGAAGCUAGUAAUUACGAUUAUGUUUUUGAACGCUUCGAUAUUAUCUACAGUCAAUCAUGGAUAAUGCUAUGUUAGAGCCUGAACCCCUCGCAAACGACGAGGAUUCAAGCGGAGUGCCGUAAGUUGUAGAGAAUUUUUUAUUCGAUCUUCUAAGACUACUCUAGCUUGGCGGUUC
RNAcentral lists this ribosomal RNA (410 nucleotides) under Chironomus pseudothummi. RNAcentral describes it as "eukaryotic LSU rRNA". It matches the Rfam family "Eukaryotic large subunit ribosomal RNA", at positions 3048 to 3399 of the family's 3401-position model. Lineage: Eukaryota; Metazoa; Arthropoda; Insecta; Diptera; Chironomidae. The record is from RNAcentral.